Molecule: ribosomal RNA, 557 nt
Filed under: uncultured bacterium
Lineage: Bacteria
Description: bacterial SSU rRNA
Rfam family: Bacterial small subunit ribosomal RNA
Source: RNAcentral
ACGGGUGCGUAACGCGUGGGAAUCUGCCUUCAGGUUCGGAAUAACUCCCCGAAAGGGGUGCUAAUACCGGAUGAUGUCUACGGACCAAAGAUUUAUCGCCUGAAGAUGAGCCCGCGUAGGAUUAGCUAGUUGGUGGGGUAAAGGCCCACCAAGGCGACGAUCCUUAGCUGGUCUGAGAGGAUGAUCAGCCACACUGGGACUGAGACACGGCCCAGACUCCUACGGGAGGCAGCAGUGGGGAAUAUUGGACAAUGGGCGAAAGCCUGAUCCAGCAAUGCCGCGUGAGUGAUGAAGGCCUUAGGGUUGUAAAGCUCUUUUACCCGGGAUGAUAAUGACAGUACCGGGAGAAUAAGCUCCGGCUAACUCCGUGCCAGCAGCCGCGGUAAUACGGAGGGAGCUAGCGUUAUUCGGAAUUACUGGGCGUAAAGCGCACGUAGGCGGCUUUGUAAGUCAGAGGUGAAAGCCUGGAGCUCAACUCCAGAACUGCCUUUGAGACUGCAUCGCUUGAAUCCAGGAGAGGUGAGUGGAAUUCCGAGUGUAGAGGUGAAAUUCGUAGA